RNAcentral lists this ribosomal RNA (314 nucleotides) under uncultured archaeon. Its description in RNAcentral is "bacterial SSU rRNA". It matches the Rfam family "Archaeal small subunit ribosomal RNA", at positions 1029 to 1343 of the family's 1478-position model. The record is from RNAcentral.
UUAAGUCAGGCAACAAGCGAGACCCAUGCGUUUAGUUACCAACUUCUCCUCCGGGAGAGGUGUACUCUAAACGGACUGCCCGCGCUAAGUGGGAGGAAGGAGUGGGCGACGGUAGGUCAGUAUGGUCCGAAACUUCUGGGCUACACGCGGCAUACAGUGCAUGGGACAAUGGGCUGCGACUCCGAGAGGAGGAGCCAAUCCCCUAAAUCCAUGCGUGGUUCGGAUUGAGGGUUGAAACUCACCCUCAUGAAGAUGGAAUGGCUAGUAAUCGCGUGUCACUAUCGCGCGGUGAAUGUGUCCCUGCUCCUUGCACA